GAGAGAGAGACUGGUUCUGACCUUUGGGAGCAGAAGAGAUGAAAACAGAGGUUACUUUUUCUUGUGAACUUGCAAUAUUGUUUUGGAUGACUAGAUGAGAGAAAGGGAAACAGAAAACAAUAAGCUCAGAAUCGGCUUACGAGGAACAAAUAUAUUCCGUUUUCAAAGGAUAGACGUGUUAUAUACAGAACAAUUUGAGAUUGUGUUCCUGUGACAGGUAUAUACAGUAAAGAAGAAACAGCUCUAAGUCUGCAGAGAGAUAAUAAUGCCAGAGAUAAGGGUGCUAAUCGGUGCUGUUGUCGCCAUUCAUUAGAACAACUUCUAUCACAGAGCUAAUCAAGAGUAUAACCUGAUGCUUGACAUAUGGUUUGCGGUAAAUAUUUGUAAAAUGAAUGCAAACUGGUUCCCACAAGGGAAAGAACCGGAAGUUCUUCCUGAUCAAGAUUCUGAAUUCAACCUUACAUUUACUGGCAUUUCCAAAGCUAUGACAUCUUCAUUUCCUUAUGCUACAAAAUCCUUUUGGCAGAGGAGGAUCCAGAGGUAAAAUGAACACCCCAAGUCCUCAUUUCCUCCCACUCCAACUCUUUCAGAAUAUUCCAGUUUCUUUUGGA
Molecule: long non-coding RNA, 611 nt
Filed under: Pan troglodytes (chimpanzee)
Lineage: Eukaryota; Metazoa; Chordata; Mammalia; Primates; Hominidae
Description: long non-coding RNA NONPTRT001755
Source: RNAcentral